AGAGUUUGAUCCUGGCUCAGGAUGAACGCUGGCGGCGUGCCUAACACAUGCAAGUCGAGCGAAGCGAUGUUAAGGAAGUUUUCGGAUGGAAUUAAGAUUGACUUAGCGGCGGACGGGUGAGUAACGCGUGGGUAACCUGCCUUAUACAGGGGGAUAACAGUUAGAAAUGACUGCUAAUACCGCAUAAGCGCACGGGAACGCAUGUUUCUGUGUGAAAAACUGAGGUAGUAUAAGAUGGACCCGCGUCUGAUUAGCUAGUUGGUGGGGUAACGGCCUACCAAGGCGACGAUCAGUAGCCGGCCUGAGAGGGUGACCGGCCACAUUGGGACUGAGACACGGCCCAAACUCCUACGGGAGGCAGCAGUGGGGAAUAUUGCACAAUGGGGGAAACCCUGAUGCAGCGACGCCGCGUGAGUGAAGAAGUAUUUCGGUAUGUAAAGCUCUAUCAGCAGGGAAGAAGCAAGACGGUACCUGACUAAGAAGCCCCGGCUAACUACGUGCCAGCAGCCGCGGUAAUACGUAGUGGGCAAGCGUUAUCCGGAUUUACUGGGUGUAAAGGGAGCGUAGACGGUAUGGCAAGUCUGAAGUGAAAAGCCCAGGGCCUUAACCCUGGGACUGCUUUGGAAACUUGUUAGACUAGAGUGCUGGAGAGGUAAGGUGGAAUUCCCUAGUGUAGCGGUGAAAUGCGUAAAAUAUUAGGAGGAACACCAGUGGGGAAGGCGGCUUAUUGGACAGUAACUGACGUUGAGGCUCGAAAGCGUGGGGAGCAAACAGGAUUAGAUACCCUGGUAGUCCACGCUGUAAACGAUGAAUACUAGGUGUUGGCGGGCAAAGCCCGUCGGUGCCGCCGCAAAGGCAAUAAGUAUUCCACCUGGGGAGUACGUUCGCAAGAAUAAAACUCAAANGAAUUGACGGGGACCGGGGCAAGCGGUGGAGCAUGUGGUUUAAUUCGAAGCAACGCGAAGAACCUUACCAAGUCUUGACAUCCCUUUGAAUGGAGAGUAAAGUUUCCAGGCCUACGGGACAAAGGAGACAGGUGGUGCAUGGUUGUCGUCAGCUCGUGUCGUGAGAUGUUGGGUUAAGUCCCGCAACGAGCGCAACCCUUAUUCUUAGUAGCCAGCAGGUAAGGCUGGGCACUCUGGGAAGACUGCCAGGGAUAACCUGGAGGAAGGUGGGGAUGACGUCAAAUCAUCAUGCCCCUUAUGAUUUGGGCUACACACGUGCUACAAUGGCGUAAACAAAGGGAGGCGAAGGAGUAAUCUGGAGCGAACCCCAAAAAUAACGUCUCAGUUCGGACUGUGGUCUGCAACCCGACCACACGAAGCUGGAAUCGCUAGUAAUCGCGAAUCAGAAUGUCGCGGUGAAUACGUAACCGGGUCUUG
RNAcentral lists this ribosomal RNA (1382 nucleotides) under uncultured bacterium. Its description in RNAcentral is "bacterial SSU rRNA". It matches the Rfam family "Bacterial small subunit ribosomal RNA", at positions 8 to 1383 of the family's 1533-position model. The record is from RNAcentral.